RNAcentral lists this small nuclear RNA (111 nucleotides) under Vombatus ursinus (common wombat). Lineage: Eukaryota; Metazoa; Chordata; Mammalia; Diprotodontia; Vombatidae. The record is from RNAcentral.
UUGCUCACUUCAGCAGCACAUAUACUAAAAUUGGAACAAUACGGAGAAUAUUAGCAUGACCCCUGCACAAGAAUGACACACAAAUUCAUGAAGUGAGUGUUCCAUACUUUU